Molecule: long non-coding RNA, 993 nt
Filed under: Callithrix jacchus (white-tufted-ear marmoset)
Lineage: Eukaryota; Metazoa; Chordata; Mammalia; Primates; Cebidae
Description: lncRNA (ENSCJAG00000086142.1)
Source: RNAcentral
AAAAGGUACUCAGCAUCAUUUAUCAUCAGAGAAAUGCAAAUCAAAACCACCAUGAGAUAUCACUUCACAUCAAUUAAGAUAACUUUUUCCCAAUGACUAUUAUCUUUGGAUAAAAGGCUGUUAUCUUUGGAUAAAAGAACAUGUCUAAUUUCCACAUACUUGUUAAUUUUCCAUUAUUUCUCCUGUCACUGAUUUCUAUUUUUAUGCUAUCAUAGUUGGAAAAAAUAUGUACUUUUAGUCUACUUAAAUUUAUUAAGACUUGUUUUAUGGCCUAAUACAGAAUCCAUUGUAGAUGAUAUUCUGUUUUAUGCUUGAGAAGAAUGUAUUCUGCUGUUGUGGAAUGGAAUGUUCUGUAUAUAUUUUUUGAGACAGUUCAGGUCCAAUGUCUCCUUAUUGAUUUUCUGUCUGGAUAAUCUAUCCAUUGAUCACAGUAAUCUAUCCAUUGAAGCCUCUUACUGUUGCUAUAUUGCUGUUUAUCUCUCCAUUUUCAUCUGUUAGUAUUAACUUUACAUAUUUGGGUGCUCUGCUAUUAGUUGCAUAAAUAUAUAUAAUUUUUAUAUCUGUGAUAAAUUGACCCCUUUGUCAUUAUAUAAUUACCUUCUUUUUCUUUUUUUACAGUGUUGACUCACACUCUCCUUUGUCCUAUAUAAUUAUAGCUGCCCCUGCUUUCUUUUGGUUUCCACAUGCAUGGAACAUCAUUUUUCAGCCUUCAGUCCAUGUGUAUCCUUAAAGCCGAAGACAAAUGAUUAAAAAGAAGCAGGCCAGUCUCACAGCUUGAAGGUAUGAGGAGGACUGAUCUUUCUAACCACAUUGUACAGUUCUGGACAUGUCCCAAGAGGGACAUGGAUGAAUCUGGCGAACAUCAUCCUCAGCAAACUGACACAAGAACAGAAAAUGAAACACCGCAUAUUCUCACUCAUAGGUGGGUGAUGAAAAAUGAGAACACAUGGACACAGAAAGGGGAGUACUAAACACUGGGGUCUAUUUGGGGGA